UGCCAGCAGCCGCGGUAAUACGGAGGGGGUUAGCGUUGUUCGGAAUUACUGGGCGUAAAGCGCACGUAGGCGGACUAGUAAGUAAGAGGUGAAAUCCCAGGGCUCAACCCUGGAACUGCCUUUUAAACUGCUAAUCUAGAGAUCGAGAGAGGUGAGUGGAAUUCCGAGUGUAGAGGUGAAAUUCGUAGAUAUUCGGAGGAACACCAGUGGCGAAGGCGGCUUUCUGGACCGAUACUGACGCUGAGACGCGAAAGCGUGGGGAGCAAACAGGAUUAGAUA
This 279-nucleotide ribosomal RNA is filed under the name uncultured bacterium. RNAcentral's name for it is "partial 16S ribosomal RNA". It matches the Rfam family "Bacterial small subunit ribosomal RNA", at positions 506 to 784 of the family's 1533-position model. The record is from RNAcentral.